This 253-nucleotide ribosomal RNA is filed under the name uncultured bacterium. RNAcentral describes it as "partial 16S ribosomal RNA". It matches the Rfam family "Bacterial small subunit ribosomal RNA", at positions 524 to 776 of the family's 1533-position model. The record is from RNAcentral.
UACAGAGGGUGCAAGCGUUGUUCGGAGUUAUUGGGCGUAAAGCGCGUGUAGGCGGCUUUGCAAGUCGGGUGUGAAAGCCCUCAGCUUAACUGAGGAAGUGCGCCCGAAACUGCAGAGCUUGAGUACCGGAGAGGGUGGCGGAAUUCCCCAAGUAGAGGUGAAAUUCGUAGAUAUGGGGAGGAACACCGGUGGCGAAGGCGGCCACCUGGACGGAUACUGACGCUGAGACGCGAAAGCGUGGGUAGCAAACAGG